AAAAAAAAAAGAAAAUUCAAAUCCAACCAACCAGAAAACUGCUCGCAUUUUUGUUUAUUCUUCUUUCUUCUAGAAAUGCUUUUAUUUCCGUUUGUUUUCUCCGU
Molecule: non-coding RNA, 104 nt
Filed under: Platyophrya macrostoma
Lineage: Eukaryota; Ciliophora; Colpodea; Cyrtolophosidida; Platyophryidae
Source: RNAcentral